Oreochromis niloticus (Nile tilapia) is the source of this 3235-nucleotide long non-coding RNA. RefSeq lists it as uncharacterized. The transcript has 2 exons. The record is from RefSeq and is a predicted model, not a curated record. Lineage: Eukaryota; Metazoa; Chordata; Actinopteri; Cichliformes; Cichlidae.
GUGUGGGAGGGGGGGGGUUGCAACUGUCUAGACCGUAAAGGUGUAGACAGUUGCAAACACCCGCCCCCCAGAUGACAGACUGUCAUCUGUGCUUAUGCGCUGAAAACACUUCAGAGUACCGGUUUUUCUAGAUGUCCCUGGUUGGGGAGCUUGAGGGUUCUUCACCCGGGACUCGGUCCUACUGGGAGACUUCAGUGGUUCUGUGGAUAAUCUGGAAGGGGCAUGAUUGGGAGGAAUGGCUGACCUGAUCUGAACCCAAGUGGUGUAGUGUUUUCUUGCAUUUGGAAACCACAAUUUGUCUGUAAUGAAUGCCUUAUUUGAACAUAAGGGUGUCCAUAAGCGCAUGUGGCACUAGGACACCCUUGGUUGCAGGUCAACAAUCGAUUUUGUAAACAUAUCAUCAGAUCUUUGGCCAUAUGUUCCAAAUACCCAGGUGAAGAGGGAGGCUGUGCUGGUCAGCUGCUCAGGAUGAACUCAAAACAGCGAGGAAGCCAUUAGGUUGAAAACGGAGUGAUAAUAUUAAGCUUAGUUAGCCUGUGGGUCUUUGGAGGCUGCUGAUCCAGAGCAAAAUAUCUGGUGUAGUUUGAGACCAUAGAAAAAGGCUUUCAGACUUCCUCAAAACGAUCCUGCCUUAAACAUAUGUUACAUAUAUUUAAACAUAAUUACAUGUUUUUGUGUCUUUUCGCUUUUUGUAUUUUAUAAGUCCCGCUAAUGGAUGAACCAGUAGGACUGUCUUAAAAUAAGUUUGAUGUUCAAAGGUGCACUGUGAGGUUAAAUAAAAAGUACAGACAUCUGUGUAAGAAUAUAAGGAAUAAAAGUAAAUAACUCCGAUAAAUAAAUGUUGUAAUUAUGUAUUAAUACCAUAUGUCCCACCUCAUAAUUGCAUCAUAUAGUAAAUAGUUGUAAUUGUUAUUUCUUUAAAUUCGUCUUUUUCAGUGAUUCGCCCAAGAGCCCAGUUUACACAAUAAAAAACACCUUUGUUUUAUUUUUCUCAGGAGGACUUUCCACUCUUCCUCCCCACUCCAGAGAAUACCACUUUGUGAACCAGAAAAUGACCUGGACCGAAGCUCAGAGUUACUGCAGAGAACACUUCACUGACUUGGUCACCAUCUACAACAGCAACAUCAACCAACUGCUUUUCUCAAUGUCACCAAGGAUCAAUGAUUUUGCUUGGAUAGGGCUCUAUGAUGAUCGUUACAGCUGGAAGUGGUCCAUGGAGGGAAAACUUUUUUAUGUUGGCAGUACACAUAAAUUAUUGACCUGGGCUAACGGCCAACCAGACUGUGUAAAUGCAAAGGAAUACUGUGUGGCUCUUCAGGGACAAACACAGAUGAAUGAUAGACCCUGUGGAGAUUCUUACCCUUUCCUGUGUUACAAUGGUAGGAAAAAAGAUUUGUUGCCAUAGUUAUCCUACAAUUUUAUGAGAUUCAGAAUGUGUGUUUCAAUCCUUUUUCGCAGCCAAAAACACAAGUUACAUCUUAGUGAUGGAGAACCAAACCUGGUCAGCGGCUCAGUCGUACUGCAGGACAUACCACACAGACCUGAUCAGUAUAAAAAGCAAAGAGGAGAAAUCCAACAUCACGCUCACUUUGAAUGGAUCAGGGGUUCAGUAUGUGUGGAUUGGUCUCUACAGGGAUCCCUGGUCCUUCUGGUCUGACAACACAACCUCCACAUACACUAACUGGAUGUCUUCUCAGCCUAAUAAUGGAAAUUCAGUUGAAUACUGUGGAGAUUUGAAUUUAAAGACAGGGGAAUUGAAUGAUGCCAACUGUGCCGUCAGACUCUAUUUUUUCUGUUUCACAGGUGAGGUCCAGAAUGCAAACACUGUAAGAUCCUGUCAUCAUGUAAAACACUAAUGUUUGUGUUUUUAUAUGUGGUUCAUUUUUAGCAGUGACAAAGCAAACAGUGGUGAAAAUGAAGCUUCAGUCAGAGGCAGACAUGCACAGCACAGAGAUCCAGCAGCAGGUUUCACAGCAGCUGUCAGGCCUCAUGCUGUCAGAAGGACUGACAGACUUCAGGAUUCGUUGGAGGAAAGUCCAGAGUUACCGUGACGACCAGUUGAAGAACCAGGAUGUGGACGGUGGCUGCAAAACUGAAGUCUGACUGGACUGAACCACUUCAUGUGUGAAGUUAAUAACAUGCUGUGCUGAGCUGUCUCAUCCUUUAAAUCUUUCAAUAUUUCAGAGUGUAAAGUUCCACCAACAGCUCAUUUGUUCAGCUGCAGUUGUAUUUUGGUAGAAAUUAUUUUACUGAUUCAUCUUGAAAUUUUUAUGAUAAGCUUGGAUUCAUCAUUAUUGUCCUUCUAUGUAAGAGACCACAUAGGCUUUGUCUUUAUGCAGUUUAUUGAGAUCCAUAGUUCUGUUUCACUGUGGCAGAAACCUCUGCUGACUUAUUAAAGUGUGGACAACAAGCAACAAAACAUUGCUUCGUUUAUGUCCAGUUUCUGCUUAGACUGUUUGAUACCCAUAACAAUGGCAGCCAUAAAUGGGACCAUAAGUGUCCCAAACCUUGCCUAAUUUAAAUUUGAAUGAUCACUUUCAAGAGACAGUUAAAGAUCCAAAAGCCUUAUUUUUAUGUAUUUUUAUGCAUUCAACACAGUUGGAGGGUCCCAAAAUGAAUGAAAUAAGAACAUCAUUAAUAGUUAAUUAAAUGUUUUGUUAAAUAAUUAAUUUGGAAUGAAUUAAUAAAGUACACUACCGGUCAAAAGUUUUAGAACACCCCAAUUUUUUCAGUUUUUUCUUGAAAAUUAUGCAGUUUAAUGAGUCAUGCCACUUUAGUACAAAUAAGCAAUUGUAGUUAAAAAACGAAAUCAUGGAAUCAAUUUAUAGACCAAAAUGUAUUCUAAGCUUCUGACGCAUCAAAGUCGCCACCUUUGGUAGAUGUAACACCGAACAUUCCUGUGGCAUGAUUUCUAAACAGAAAUCAAAUAUUCUUCAGAAAGUUCUUCCCAUAUCUGUUCCAGAAGUUCCCAUAAAUGUUGACACUUGUAGGUUGCUUUGCUUUCACUCCAUGUUUUAAAGCGUAUCGUCCUGUUCUUUUUUCCUAAGGCAGUUCUGGCCUAGCUUAGACUAAUGUUUUGGGUCAUUAUCUUGCUGUAGGGUGAACACCUGAUCAACUAGGCACAUACCAGCAGGUACUGCAUGGUCAUGCAGAAUUCUGUGGUAGUCAUCUUAGUUCAGAGUGCCUCUCACUCCGUACAAGUCACCGAUUCAAGAUCCAGCAAAACAGCCCCAGA